Long non-coding RNA from Papaver somniferum (opium poppy), 946 nucleotides. RefSeq lists it as uncharacterized. The record is from RefSeq and is a predicted model, not a curated record. The transcript has 5 exons. Lineage: Eukaryota; Viridiplantae; Streptophyta; Magnoliopsida; Ranunculales; Papaveraceae.
UAAGAGAUUUCUUUUAUCGAGCUUAGGCAGUAAUAGUAUCUCCCCAAAACAAACAAUUCCAACUCUUCCUCCGUUGAAACCAACAUCUCUCUUCCUCCAUUAACAGAUCUAACUCUCAUCCUCCAUGGAAACUAUCAUUUCAUUGUUGUGUGUACCAGUUACUGUAAUAUAUGGAAAUUGAAGUCAGGAAAUCUAAUUUCAGAAAUUGUUAGGGGAUUCUCGAUUUCAAUUUCAGUUUUCCGAAAUUAUUAGAUCGCGAGUAUAGAAUUUAAUGGAAAUUGUUUUGGAUAAUAGGUAUCCAAAAGUGGUAGAAGAAGAUGAGAUUGUUGUUUAUGUUCUAUAGUCCUUUGUCAAGGAAGCUUUGUUGUGGUUGAUGAAAGAGGGAUAGAGGAAGCUAUUGAGGCUGGCAGUAGUCAGAUUAGCAAAUUGGUGAUUGAGACUUGGUUCAGUUGCUGGAGAAGCAAAGUAGCAAUCGAUGAACUUCAACUGUUAUGGGCAGCGCUGAAAGUUGCUAGUGCAAGACUGGAUUGAUACAACGAGGGAAGUUUUACAGGGGCAAGGAUCUUCUUGUCUGGUUCUAGUCUUCGAACUGAAGAUAGAACUAGAUGGCCAAAUUGAACAAGCACCUCCAUCAUCAGUAUUCUGUCCAGGACCUGAAGACAUGGAAGGUUUCCAGUUCCUUAUUAUCUUAGUUGCACCUCGUCCGGUAAUUUCCCCUGCUAUUGAUCAGUACUGUUGCUGCCCCGACGGAUGAAGAUGGAAAGGGUGGUGGUGUUCUGGUUGGGCAGGUGAUCAAUUGGCCGAAACAGCCAAGCUUUUUUGGCAAUAGACUAGGUUUUUCUGUUUGUUUGUUUCUUUUUCCCCCUAUUUGUUUGUUUUAAUUGGACAAAGAAUUUAUAUGGGAUUGAAAUUUAUCAAUAUAUGUCAAGUUAAAAAUAUUUCUUGA